Molecule: ribosomal RNA, 956 nt
Filed under: uncultured Halonotius sp.
Lineage: Archaea; Methanobacteriati; Methanobacteriota; Halobacteria; Halobacteriales; Haloferacaceae
Description: bacterial SSU rRNA
Rfam family: Archaeal small subunit ribosomal RNA
Source: RNAcentral
UCGUGGCAGAUAGCUCAGUAACACGUGGCCAAGCUACCCUUCAGUCGGCAAUACCCUCGGGAAACUGAGGUUAACGGCCGAUGUGGGACGCCUGCUGGAAUGCGGCGUUCUCUAAAGGCGACGCUGAAGGAUGCGGCUGCGGCCGAUUAGGUUGACGGUGGGGUAACGGCCCACCGUGCCAGUAAUCGGUACGGGUGAUGAGAGUCAGAGCCCGGAGACGGAAUCUGAGACAAGAUUCCGGGCCCUACGGGGCGCAGCAGGCGCGAAACCUUUACACUGCACGGAAGUGCGAUAGGGGAAUCCCAAGUGCGAGGGCAUAUUCGCCCUCGCUUUUGUUGACCGUAAGGUGGUCAACGAAUAAGAGCUGGGCAAGACCGGUGCCAGCCGCCGCGGUAAUACCGGCAGCUCGAGUGAUGUCCAAUAUUAUUGGGCCUAAAGCGUCCGUAGCUGGCCGCGCAAGUCCGUCGGGAAAUCCACCUGCCCAACAGGUGGGCGUCCGGCGGAAACUGUGUGGCUUGGAACCGGAAGGCUCAGAGGGUACGUCCGGGGUAGGAGUGAAAUCCCGUAAUCCCGGACGGACCACCGAUGGCGAAAGCACUCUGAGAAGACGGCUUCGACAGUGAGGGACGAAAGCUAGGGUCUCAAACCGGAUUAGAUACCCGGGUAGUCCUAGCUGUAAACGAUGCUCGUUAGGUGUGGCACCCACUACGAGUGGGUGCUGUGCCGCAGGGAAGCCGCUAAACGAGCCGCCUGGGAAGUACGUCCGCAAGGAUGAAACUUAAAGGAAUUGGCGGGGGAGCACUACAACCGGAGGAGCCUGCGGUUUAAUUGGACUCAACGCCGGAAAUCUCACCAGCCCCGACAUCAGUAAUGACGGUCAGGUUGAUGACCUUACCCGAUGCUGCUGAGAGGAGGUGCAUGGCCGCCGUCAGCUCGUACCGUGAGGCGUCCUGUUA